This 138-nucleotide ribosomal RNA is filed under the name uncultured bacterium. RNAcentral describes it as "partial 16S ribosomal RNA". It matches the Rfam family "Bacterial small subunit ribosomal RNA", at positions 355 to 509 of the family's 1533-position model. The record is from RNAcentral.
UGAGGAAUCUUCCACAAUGGGCGAAAGCCUGAUGGAGCAACGCCGCGUGCAGGAUGAAGGCCCUCGGGUCGUAAACUGUCUUUUAUAAGUGAAGAAUAUGACGGUAACUUAUGAAUAAGCACCGGCUAACUACGUGCC